Homo sapiens (human) is the source of this 1514-nucleotide long non-coding RNA. Ensembl annotates it as long intergenic non-protein coding RNA 1418. The record is from Ensembl. Lineage: Eukaryota; Metazoa; Chordata; Mammalia; Primates; Hominidae.
AGAGCACACUUGCAUGGGGUGGAGGAUAUUUUCAGCUGCUGAGUCUUCUUCAAGGAGGAGUUAGAGUCAAGACUCUCUGUCUCAGAACCUUGGAGUCCAAAUAGAAAAAAAAAAUUGGAGAUGUGGUAACAUCAAGUGUCAGCCAAGCUGAGAAAACUAGAUGCCAAAAAUGAUAUGUGUAAAAAGCAAGCGGGCCAAGCAGACACAACAGUUGCAGAGAUAAGAGGCAGUCGCUUUUCUUCAAUGGAGGUGCCGAUGCCUACAGAGGACUCACCCAGACCCUUCAAUCUGAUGUAGCAAAUAAUAAAGAGAGAGAUUCGGUACCUAUGGGAACAGCCUCUACUCAGUGACAUUCAAGACAUUUCAAUGCACCAUCUACCUCAUCUACCCAGGUGGCACCACCAGUGUGGGGUCCAGGAGACAGUGCAUCGGGAAGGGACAGAACAGCGAUCUCAGAGACCAGGACAGGCUCAGAGGGACACCUUGACCCUGGGGAAAGAAGAGGAGCCAGGGCCUUGUUUACAUGUUGAAAUCCUCAGGAGGUCAAGGACGAGCCAUACUGAUGAGAAUUAAAGACUCUUGGUGUGUCAGGAGAGAGGAAGAGUUAAAGUCUUGAAGAGGACUCUGUGACAGCUAAAGGUGCCAUAAUAGUGAAAGGAAAUACAAGAUUCCUGUUGUCAAGGACCUUACAUUCAAUAGGAGAAAGACGUACAAUAAGCAAAUAAAAAUACGGAGUCUGGCCCUGUCGCCCAGGCUGGAGUGCAAUGGUGCGAUCUUGGCUCACUGCAAGCUCCACCUCCUGGAUUCAAGCGAUUCUCCUGCCUCAGCCUCCUGAGUAGCUAGGACUACAGAGAGGAGGUUCUUAGUCUGUUGCCCAGGAUGGAAUGCAGUAGUGUGAUUACACCUAACUUCAGCCUGAAACUCCUGGGGUCAAGUUAUCCCCCGACCUCAUCAUCCCAAGUAAUGGGGACUACAGUUCUUAAGGUGGAGCGGAAUUCAUUUUAUUUGCAAAUGUGGAAGGCAUUAUAAAAACCGUGAAUGAUGCCCCCUCCCAUGAGGGAUACAGGGAGAGCCACGUGAAGAGGAUGUUGGGCUUCUUCAAGCUGGCAGGGCACUGAGCUGACUGUCCACCACACUCACCAGGGGCCUUUGUGCAUCCCGUGGGGCAGCUCUGGGAAAGGAGGGCCAGAAAGGAUGGGCUUUCCCUUUUCCUCGUGGCAGAAACUUCCCUGACUUCAUAGCUGGGUUCCCCCUAUCCACAGUUUACAGUACAACUAUCUCCUCCAAGUUGGCCAGCAUUGCCUCUGAUACGUGAACAAGAAGUAUUUGGAGGGUUAAUAAAUACAAAUCAACACAUAUACACAUGAAGAGAAAAUGGAUGUAAUAACCAAGGACUGCCUGAUAUGCGGGAACUGAAGCUCAGAAAGGCAAAACAACUUUUCAUGCUCUUCUACCUAAUAAGUCGGAGAACCAAGAUUCAAAUUCUAAAUGCGGGUCUGAUUGAGGCCAAGCAG